Molecule: ribosomal RNA, 3095 nt
Filed under: Salmonella enterica subsp. enterica serovar Infantis
Lineage: Bacteria; Pseudomonadati; Pseudomonadota; Gammaproteobacteria; Enterobacterales; Enterobacteriaceae
Description: 23S ribosomal RNA
Rfam family: Bacterial large subunit ribosomal RNA
Source: RNAcentral
GGUUAAGCGACUAAGCGUACACGGUGGAUGCCCUGGCAGUCAGAGGCGAUGAAGGGCGUGCUAAUCUGCGAUAAGCGCCGGUAAGGUGAUAUGAACCGUUAUAACCGGCGAUACCCGAAUGGGGAAACCCAGUGUGAUUCGUCACACUAUCAUUAACUGAAUCCAUAGGUUAAUGAGGCGAACCGGGGGAACUGAAACAUCUAAGUACCCCGAGGAAAAGAAAUCAACCGAGAUUCCCCCAGUAGCGGCGAGCGAACGGGGAGGAGCCCAGAGCCUGAAUCAGCAUGUGUGUUAGUGGAAGCGUCUGGAAAGGCGCGCGAUACAGGGUGACAGCCCCGUACACAAAAAGCGCAUGUGCUGUGAGCUCGAUGAGUAGGGCGGGACACGUGGUAUCCUGUCUGAAUAUGGGGGAAAUUAUCCUCCAAGGCUAAAUACUCCUGACUGACCGAUAGUGAACCAGUACCGUGAGGGAAAGGCGAAAAGAACCCCGGCGAGGGGAGUGAAAAAGAACCUGAAACCGUGUACGUAGAAGCAGUGGGAGCCCCACCACCAAAGCAUUCUCUGGUGUUGAAGGCCCUGCAAAGCAGCAUCGCGGUGGCGGAGCGUCGUUUGCGACGCCCAACACACAAAACAAGCGGUGAGUGCUUUGGGGUGGGGUGACUGCGUACCUUUUGUAUAAUGGGUCAGCGACUUAUAUUCUGUAGCAAGGUUAACCGAAUAGGGGAGCCGGAGGGAAACCGAGUCUUAAUUGGGCGUUAAGUUGCAGGGUAUAGACCCGAAACCCGGUGAUCUAGCCAUGGGCAGGUUGAAGGUUGGGUAACACUAACUGGAGGAAUGCGAACCGACUAAUGUUGAAAAAUUAGCGGAUGACCUGUGGCUGGGGGUGAAAGGCCAAUCAAACCGGGAGAUAGCUGGUUCUCCCCGAAAGCUAUUUAGGUAGCGCCUCGUGAAUUCAUCUCCGGGGGUAGAGCACUGUUUCGGCUAGGGGGCCAUCCCGGCUUACCAACCCGAUGCAAACUGCGAAUACCGGAGAAUGUUAUCACGGGAGACACACGGCGGGUGCUAACGUCCGUCGUGAAGAGGGAAACAACCCAGACCGCCAGCUAAGAUUCCCAAAGUCAUGGUUAAGUGGGAAACGAUGUGGGAAGGCCCAGACAGCCAGGAUGUUGGCUUAGAAGCAGCCAUCAUUUAAAGAAAGCGUAAUAGCUCACUGGUCGAGUCGGCCUGCGCGGAAGAUGUAACGGGGCUAAACCAUGCACCGAAGCUGCGGCAGCGAACGUAUCACUUAAAGCGAUUCAGCGGGUUACGAUUGACGGAGCGAAGCGACGUCAAAGCGUAUACAAAGUCGAGUCGGUUUAAGGAUACGUUCGUUGGGUAGGGGAGCGUUCUGUAAGCCUGCGAAGGUGGCCUGUGAGGGUUGCUGGAGGUAUCAGAAGUGCGAAUGCUGACAUAAGUAACGAUAAAGCGGGUGAAAAGCCCGCUCGCCGGAAGACCAAGGGUUCCUGUCCAACGUUAAUCGGGGCAGGGUGAGUCGACCCCUAAGGCGAGGCCGAAAGGCGUAGUCGAUGGGAAACGGGUUAAUAUUCCCGUACUUGGUGUUACUGCGAAGGGGGGGACGGAGAAGGCUAUGUUGGCCGGGCGACGGUUGUCCCGGUUUAAGCGUGUAGGUGUGUGUUCCAGGUAAAUCCGGUUCACUUUAACACUGAGGCGUGACGACGAGGCACUACGGUGCUGAAGCAACAAAUGCCCUGCUUCCAGGAAAAGCCUCUAAGCAUCAGGUAACAUCAAAUCGUACCCCAAACCGACACAGGUGGUCAGGUAGAGAAUACCAAGGCGCUUGAGAGAACUCGGGUGAAGGAACUAGGCAAAAUGGUGCCGUAACUUCGGGAGAAGGCACGCUGACACGUAGGUGAAGUGAUUUACUCACGGAGCUGAAGUCAGUCGAAGAUACCAGCUGGCUGCAACUGUUUAUUAAAAACACAGCACUGUGCAAACACGAAAGUGGACGUAUACGGUGUGACGCCUGCCCGGUGCCGGAAGGUUAAUUGAUGGGGUCAGCGCAAGCGAAGCUCCUGAUCGAAGCCCCGGUAAACGGCGGCCGUAACUAUAACGGUCCUAAGGUAGCGAAAUUCCUUGUCGGGUAAGUUCCGACCUGCACGAAUGGCGUAAUGAUGGCCAGGCUGUCUCCACCCGAGACUCAGUGAAAUUGAACUCGCUGUGAAGAUGCAGUGUACCCGCGGCAAGACGGAAAGACCCCGUGAACCUUUACUAUAGCUUGACACUGAACAUUGAGCCUUGAUGUGUAGGAUAGGUGGGAGGCUUUGAAGUGUGGACGCCAGUCUGCAUGGAGCCGACCUUGAAAUACCACCCUUUAAUGUUUGAUGUUCUAACGUGAAUCCGUGAUCCGGGUUGCGGACAGUGUCUGGUGGGUAGUUUGACUGGGGCGGUCUCCUCCUAAAGAGUAACGGAGGAGCACGAAGGUUGGCUAAUCCUGGUCGGACAUCAGGAGGUUAGUGCAAUGGCAUAAGCCAGCUUGACUGCGAGCGUGACGGCGCGAGCAGGUGCGAAAGCAGGUCAUAGUGAUCCGGUGGUUCUGAAUGGAAGGGCCAUCGCUCAACGGAUAAAAGGUACUCCGGGGAUAACAGGCUGAUACCGCCCAAGAGUUCAUAUCGACGGCGGUGUUUGGCACCUCGAUGUCGGCUCAUCACAUCCUGGGGCUGAAGUAGGUCCCAAGGGUAUGGCUGUUCGCCAUUUAAAGUGGUACGCGAGCUGGGUUUAGAACGUCGUGAGACAGUUCGGUCCCUAUCUGCCGUGGGCGCUGGAGAACUGAGGGGGGCUGCUCCUAGUACGAGAGGACCGGAGUGGACGCAUCACUGGUGUUCGGGUUGUCAUGCCAAUGGCACUGCCCGGUAGCUAAAUGCGGAAGAGAUAAGUGCUGAAAGCAUCUAAGCACGAAACUUGCCCCGAGAUGAGUUCUCCCUGAGACUUAGAGUCUCCUGAAGGAACGUUGAAGACGACGACGUUGAUAGGCCGGGUGUGUAAGCGCAGCGAUGCGUUGAGCUAACCGGUACUAAUGAACCGUGAGGCUUAACCUU